UUUCAAAAGGAAUGAUUAGACCUUUGCCAGCGUCCGCGCGGGCAUUGCUGACACAUUUACUAUGGUCUUUCCAGUUGACCUUGUGACUGCCCGGGGCGACCACGUGGGUAGCGGAACCAGUGGUGAAGCGGUUCCCUUGGCCAGAUUCCGGAAACAGGUGGUGCUGACACCCCGUCCGAGGGCGCGGCGGGCAGGUUGACCGUGAGGCGGUUUGGAGGUGUCAGGUCUGAGGCUGUCGCUACGAAACCGUUUUCUACAGAAAGAGAUUAUACCAUGGAGCGCGGAGGGCGAGGCGAGGUGGCCAGCAGGGAGAGGCUUGCAGUGCUGGAGCCGGGCAGCAGCCUGGAGUCCGGAUGAAAACUACAACUCCCAGAAGUCCCGGGCCCUAAGGGGCCGGACCCACGGCGUGUGGGCGGGGCCUUCAGAGCGAGCCCGGCAAUUCUUCCGAGAGGAUCUGCUCCAGAAGUGGCGGGAGCGGCAGUUAUGGAAGCGCCGGAGGAGAAAGAGGCGCAGGUUGCUGCGUGGUUGAAAAAGAUAUUUGGAGAUCAUCCCAUUCCACAAUAUGAGGUCAAUGCCCGGACCACAGAGAUUUUACAUCACCUUUCAGAACGCAACAGGGUCCGGGACAGGGAUGGCCACCUGGUAAUAGAGGACUUGAAGCAGAAAGCAAGUGAAUAUGAAUCGGAAGCCAAGCAUCUUCAAGACCUUCUCAUGGAAAGUGUGAAUUUUUCCCCUGCCAACCUCUCUAGCACUGGUUCUAGAUAUCUGAAUGCUUUGGUUGACAGUGCAGUGGCCCUUGAAAUAAAGGAUACCUCAGUAACCAGUUUUCUCUCUGCAGUGAAUGAUUUGACCUCUGAUCUUUUUCGUGCCAAAUCCAAAAAUGAAGAACUCAAGCUUGAAUUGGCAAAACUUGAAAAAAAAUUAACUGCAAGUUUAGUAUUAGAAAAAUGUCUACGAGACGAUCUCAAGAAGGCAGAGUUGCAGCUGUCUACGGAAAGGGCCAAAGUUAACAGUCGUCUUCAGAACAUGGACUUCCUAAAAGCAAAGUCAGAAGAAUCCAGAUUUGGAAUCAGAGCUUUAGAGGAGAAACUUUCAGCCCGAGGCAUGGAGGCUUCUCUGUCUCAUCAAUCACUAGUAGAACUUUCAGAGAAACUGGCAGAACUAAAACAACAGACUAUACCUUUGAAGAAAAAAUUGGAGUCCUAUUUAGAUUUAAUGCCGGUAAUCAUUUUUAUGAAUUAAAAAAAGAAGAUGUCCUUUUUAGUACACACUAACUAAAUGAUCAUGAAUAUAGUGAAUCCAUGCUUAAGGAUUUAAGUUCAAGCUGAAUUUCAGAUCCAUCUCUUGCUCAGGUGAAAAUUGAAGAAGCAAAGCGAGAAUUAGAUACCAUUGAAGCUGAACUCACAAAGAAAGUAGACAUGAUGGAAUUGUGACCAGAGCCAAAUAAACUUUGUGCUCCCGAACUAAGUAAAUUAAAUAGGACUUUAAUCUUAAGAUUAAAAACACCUUAAGAGUAAUAAAAUAUAUAGAGGGGAAUAAAUGAUGAUGGGAAAAAUAAAAUGAAAAAUAU
Myotis myotis is the source of this 1570-nucleotide RNA transcript. It is a transcript of the gene named HAUS augmin like complex subunit 1, with no coding region annotated. Lineage: Eukaryota; Metazoa; Chordata; Mammalia; Chiroptera; Vespertilionidae. The transcript is spliced from 10 exons. The record is from RefSeq and is a predicted model, not a curated record.